CCCACACACAAACCUGCUCCUCCAUGGUAUCAUCGUUCUCUCUGCUUCGUCGUUCUCUUAUUGAUCUAUUCAUACUCUUGCAUCUGGGAGCAACCUUCAAAGCCGGUGAUGGACGGGCUGCUUGCAAGGCUACCGAAGAGGUUCCAUCCGGGAGCAACCUAACGCGUACUCUCUCUCCUAACCUCAGCGCAUUCUAUAUAGCACAUCCUCUCAUCGAUCCCUUCCUCUCUUCCCCUUCAAUCGAAUCCCUCAUGGCCCCUUCCAAUUCCCCUUGAAUCGCAUCUAUCUUCCCCUCUCGGUUCCUGUUUCGAAUCUGUGUAACUGAGAUGUUUAUGGGUGGCAUAGAAUUGAUGAAUUCGACUUUGUGUAAAUCGCAGGUGUUUCGUAGAAACCCUAAAUCAGAUUCAGGCAGAUGCUCUACAUUAUAUCCUCCAUCAAGACAUAAGCUUGAGGAUUCCCCCAAAUUUUAUUUUCACCAUUAUGCCUUAAGUGAUAUCAAAAAUUGCAGCAAGUUGCUUUGGGGCUAUUGAUAAAGAAUGCAGCUGACAGGAUUGUGGUGAUGGAUAGAGGUCAUGUU
Molecule: long non-coding RNA, 577 nt
Organism: Lotus japonicus
Lineage: Eukaryota; Viridiplantae; Streptophyta; Magnoliopsida; Fabales; Fabaceae
Exons: 3
Source: RefSeq, a predicted model, not a curated record